Molecule: ribosomal RNA, 443 nt
Filed under: uncultured bacterium
Lineage: Bacteria
Description: partial 16S ribosomal RNA
Rfam family: Bacterial small subunit ribosomal RNA
Source: RNAcentral
CCUACGGGAGACAGCAGUGGGGAAUAUUGGGCAAUGGGCGCAAGCCUGACCCAGCAACGCCGCGUGAAGGAAGAAGGCUUUCGGGUUGUAAACUUCUUUUCUCAGGGACGAAGCAAGUGACGGUACCUGAGGAAUAAGCCACGGCUAACUACGUGCCAGCAGCCGCGGUAAUACGUAGGUGGCAAGCGUUAUCCGGAUUUACUGGGUGUAAAGGGCGUGUAGGCGGGACUGCAAGUCAGAUGUGAAAACCAUGGGCUCAACCUAUGGCCUGCAUUUGAAACUGUCGUUCUUGAGUACUGGAGAGGCAGACGGAAUGCCUGGUGUAGCGGUGAAAUGCGUAGAUAUUAGGAGGAACACCAGUGGCGAAGGCGGUCCGCUGGCCAGCAACUGACGCUGAGGCGCGAAAGCGUGGGGAGCAAACAGGAUUAGAUACCCUGGUAGUC